UACGUAGGGGGCAAGCGUUGUCCGGAAUCAUUGGGCGUAAAGAGCGUGUAGGCGGCCCGGUAAGUCCGCUGUGAAAGUCCAGGGCUCAACCCUGGGAUGCCGGUGGAUACUGUCGGGCUCGAGUCCGGAAGAGGAGAGUGGAAUUCCUGGUGUAGCGGUGAAAUGCGCAGAUAUCAGGAAGAACACCUAUGGCGAAGGCAGCUCUCUGGGACGGUACUGACGCUGAGACGCGAAAGCGUGGGGAGCGAACGGG
RNAcentral lists this ribosomal RNA (253 nucleotides) under uncultured bacterium. RNAcentral describes it as "partial 16S ribosomal RNA". It matches the Rfam family "Bacterial small subunit ribosomal RNA", at positions 524 to 776 of the family's 1533-position model. The record is from RNAcentral.